Molecule: long non-coding RNA, 542 nt
Organism: Zonotrichia leucophrys gambelii
Lineage: Eukaryota; Metazoa; Chordata; Aves; Passeriformes; Passerellidae
Exons: 2
Source: RefSeq, a predicted model, not a curated record
UUAGUUGACCAAUUAAGUCCAAGUACAUGGUGACUGUCUAAAAAACAAUGAGUUUCUUAAUAAUGCCAUAAUAUAAUAAAAAAAUUAAUCAACCUUCUAUAAAUCAUGGCAUCAACGCUAACUAUUAACAGUUCAGGGAUGCCUUGCAACAACAGAACUGUCUGAAGUCCAGCUCUCACUCUUCUGCACUGCAGCUUGGCAAAAAUCCCCUGCACAGAAUGGAACUCCCCUGAUCCCGAGUGCCCUGCCCAGGGAACAGGGGAUGGGGUAUUGCUGUGGCUGCUGCAGCUGGACCCUUGGCUGUGGGCUGCCUGCCUCAUGCCCUGAACUGAAGAUUCGUGGGCAAACAGUCCAUCUGAUGAAGUUUAGACACCCAGGAUGUGACAUAUAUCCCUUUGGACUUCCUUCAAAGCCAGGGAAAAUGAAUAGGUCUUCUGAGUCAUCUGCAGAGGGAUUUGUUCUGUUCCAAGUAAUAGGCAGCACACUUUUGGGGAGUAGGUGGCAUCUUAAACAACUGAUAUCACCACUUAGAGUUAGCAAAA